CCUACGGGCGGCAGCAGUGGGGGAUAUUGCACAAUGGGGGGAACCCUGAUGCAGCGAAGCCGCGUGGGUGAAGAAGCGCCUCGGCGCGUAAAGCCCUGUCAGCAGGGAAGAAAAUGACGGUACCUGAAGAAGAAGCCCCGGCUUACUACGUGCCAGCAGCCGCGGUAAUACGUCGGGGGCAAGGGUUAUCCGGAUUUACUGGGUGUUAAGGGGGCGCAGAGGGCGCUGCAAGCCAGGAGUGAAAGCACGGGGCCCCACCCCGGGACAGCUCUUGGAACUGCGUGGCUGGAGUGCAGGAGGGGCAGGCGGAAUGCCUGGUGUAGCGGUGAAAUGCGUAGAUAUCAGGAGGAACACCGGUGGCGAAGGCGGCCUGCUGGAGUGCAACUGACGUUGAGGCCCGAAAGCGUGGGUAGCAAACAGGAUUAGAUACCCCGGUAGUC
This 440-nucleotide ribosomal RNA is filed under the name uncultured bacterium. RNAcentral's name for it is "partial 16S ribosomal RNA". It matches the Rfam family "Bacterial small subunit ribosomal RNA", at positions 338 to 795 of the family's 1533-position model. The record is from RNAcentral.